UGGGGAAUAUUGGACAAUGGGCGCAAGCCUGAUCCAGCCACGCCGCGUGAGUGAUGAAGGCCUUCGGGUUGUAAAGCUCUGUGGGGAGGGACGAAAACGGCCAGUAAGAAACGACUGGUCCUUGACGGUACCUCCUUAGCAAGCACCGGCUAACUCUGUGCCAGCAGCCGCGGUAAUACAGAGGGUGCGAACGUUGCUCGGAAUUACUGGGCGUAAAGCGCGUGUAGGCGGAUUGCUAAGUCGGGCGUGAAAUCCCCAGGCUCAACCUGGGAACUGCGCUCGAAACUGGCAGUCUCGAGUAUCGGAGAGGGUGGCGGAAUUCCUGGUGUAGAGGUGAAAUUCGUAGAUAUCAGGAGGAACACCGGUGGCGAAGGCGGCCACCUGGACGAUUACUGACGCUGAGACGCGAAAGCGUGGGGAGCAAACAGG
This 429-nucleotide ribosomal RNA is filed under the name uncultured bacterium. Its description in RNAcentral is "bacterial SSU rRNA". It matches the Rfam family "Bacterial small subunit ribosomal RNA", at positions 355 to 776 of the family's 1533-position model. The record is from RNAcentral.